ACGUGGCUGAGACUACAGGUGCUUGCCACUAUGCCCAACUAAUAUUUGGAAUUUUCGUAUACGUGGAUUCCAGAGGGGUGACAGCGAAAUUAGGUGACCUCACAGUGACUCAAGCUACCACUUACUGUUGAUUGUGACGAAAUGCCAGCUGAGGCACAUGCCUUGGGAGCUAAGUGGUUGCUGCACUUGACCACUGUGAAGACUGGUGUGGGAAGAAGGGUCGUUUCUGAUGCACUUGAGCAGGGGUCCCCAACCCCUGAGCCAUGGAGCCGCAAGGAGCCACACAGCAGGAGUGUAAUAAUGGAAAUGAAGUGCCUAAUAAAUGUGAAUGUGCUUAAAUCUUUUGGCCCAGCUCCUACCUCCCGGCAGCCUCUCCAGGCCCAGAACUUUCUCCAGUCAGCCUCUACAGACCAAGCUCAUGACUCACAAUGGCCUAUUUAGGCCCAUACCC
RNAcentral lists this long non-coding RNA (451 nucleotides) under Homo sapiens (human). Its description in RNAcentral is "HSALNT0022754". The record is from RNAcentral. Lineage: Eukaryota; Metazoa; Chordata; Mammalia; Primates; Hominidae.